This 787-nucleotide ribosomal RNA is filed under the name uncultured Alphaproteobacteria bacterium. Its description in RNAcentral is "bacterial SSU rRNA". It matches the Rfam family "Bacterial small subunit ribosomal RNA", at positions 60 to 887 of the family's 1533-position model. Lineage: Bacteria; Pseudomonadati; Pseudomonadota; Alphaproteobacteria. The record is from RNAcentral.
AGUCGAGCGCGCCCUUCGGGGUGAGCGGCGGACGGGUGAGUAACGCGUGGGAAUAUGCCCUUCUCUAAGGAAUAGCCUCUGGAAACGGAGAGUAAUACCUUAUACGCCCUUUGGGGGAAAGAUUUAUCGGAGAAGGAUUAGCCCGCGUUAGAUUAGGUAGUUGGUGGGGUAACGGCCUACCAAGCCUACGAUCUAUAGCUGGUUUGAGAGGAUGAUCAGCCACACUGGGACUGAGACACGGCCCAGACUCCUACGGGAGGCAGCAGUAGGGAAUCUUAGACAAUGGGGGCAACCCUGAUCUAGCCAUGCCGCGUGUGUGAUGAAGGCCCUAGGGUCGUAAAGCACUUUCGCCAGAGAUGAUAAUGACAGUAUCUGGUAAAGAAACCCCGGCUAACUCCGUGCCAGCAGCCGCGGUAAUACGGAGGGGGUUAGCGUUGUUCGGAAUUACUGGGCGUAAAGCGCACGUAGGCGGAUUAGUAAGUUAGAGGUGAAAUCCCAGGGCUCAACCCUGGAACUGCCUUUAAUACUGCUAGUCUUGAAUUCGAGAGAGGUAAGUGGAAUUCCGAGUGUAGAGGUGAAAUUCCUAGAUAUUCGGAGGAACACCAGUGGCGAAGGCGGCUUACUGGCUCGAUACUGACGCUGAGGUGCGAAAGGGUGGGGAGCAAACAGGAUUUGAUUCCCUGGUAGCCCCCCCCGUAAACAAUGAAUGCCCAACCCUCGCCAAGUAUCCUUUGUUGGUGUCACACCCUAACGGAAUUAAGCAUUUCCCCCCUUGGGGAGUACGGCC